Molecule: ribosomal RNA, 566 nt
Filed under: uncultured fungus
Lineage: Eukaryota; Fungi
Description: eukaryotic LSU rRNA
Rfam family: 5.8S ribosomal RNA (bases 210-363)
Source: RNAcentral
GUCGUAACAAGGUCUCCGUAGGUGAACCUGCGGAGGGAUCAUUACACAAAUAUGAAGGCGGGCUGGAACCUCUCGGGGUUACAGCCUUGCUGAAUUAUUCACCCUUGUCUUUUGCGUACUUCUUGUUUCCUUGGUGGGUUCGCCCACCACUAGGACAAACAUAAACCUUUUGUAAUUGCAAUCAGCGUCAGUAACAAAUUAAUAAUUACAACUUUCAACAACGGAUCUCUUGGUUCUGGCAUCGAUGAAGAACGCAGCGAAAUGCGAUAAGUAGUGUGAAUUGCAGAAUUCAGUGAAUCAUCGAAUCUUUGAACGCACAUUGCGCCCUUUGGUAUUCCAAAGGGCAUGCCUGUUCGAGCGUCAUUUGUACCCUCAAGCUUUGCUUGGUGUUGGGCGUCUUGUCUCUAGCUUUGCUGGAGACUCGCCUUAAAGUAAUUGGCAGCCGGCCUACUGGUUUUGGAGCGCAGCACAAGUCGCACUCUCUAUCAGCAAAGGUCUAGCAUCCAUUAAGCCUUUUUUUCAACUUUUGACCUCGGAUCAGGUAGGGAUACCCGCUGAACUUAAGC